Molecule: ribosomal RNA, 253 nt
Filed under: uncultured bacterium
Lineage: Bacteria
Description: partial 16S ribosomal RNA
Rfam family: Bacterial small subunit ribosomal RNA
Source: RNAcentral
GACGAAGGAUGCAAGCGUUAUCCGGAUUUAUUGGGUUUAAAGGGUGCGUAGGCGGUCUAUUAAGUCAGUGGUGAAAUACUCCAGCUUAACUGGAGGGGUGCCAUUGAUACUGAUGGACUUGAGUCAAGUCGAGGUAGGCGGAAUUGACGGUGUAGCGGUGAAAUGCUUAGAUAUCGUCAAGAACACCAAUAGUGAAGACAGCUUACUGGGCUUAAACUGACGCUGAGGCACGAAAGUGUGGGGAUCAAACAGG